Long non-coding RNA from Pundamilia nyererei, 471 nucleotides. RefSeq lists it as uncharacterized. The record is from RefSeq and is a predicted model, not a curated record. Lineage: Eukaryota; Metazoa; Chordata; Actinopteri; Cichliformes; Cichlidae. The transcript is spliced from 2 exons.
CCACAGCCUGCGCCAUCUUCUGCAACUGGAAGCUCUCGCCAGCGUCUCCAGAAUACACAAUCAGGAGUCUGUCACACAGAGACACACAACCACACCCACAGGUGAUGCAGAGUGACCAGUUACCCACCAGUUUGGACUGUGGGGGGAAGGACGCUGUAUUUAAAUGAAAUCUGAAGAUCUGUGAUGACUCCAGCACCUCCAGUUUGCGCCUGUGGAGACGAAUCGGUGCAUUAGAGGUGGCGUCUGCUUCAUGAACUGUGCAGAGGGCCCUCUGUUGGAGUAAAACAGCACCGCAGCCUGUUUAAGGAGAGCGCGGCACACCUGCUCCUCAUCACUUGUUGCCGUCCUGCAGUAUUUAAGAGAGCGGCUGCUCUACCAGGUUAUUAUAGCAGUGGAAGCUCACUCGUGUUCCUCAGCCUGUGAGGAAACCUGCUGCACACUCUGAGUUUGUCAGUAAAAUCCUUGACUGAG